This 301-nucleotide ribosomal RNA is filed under the name uncultured bacterium. RNAcentral's name for it is "partial 16S ribosomal RNA". It matches the Rfam family "Bacterial small subunit ribosomal RNA", at positions 509 to 807 of the family's 1533-position model. The record is from RNAcentral.
CAGCAGCCGCGGUAAUACGAAGGGGGCUAGCGUUGUUCGGAAUUACUGGGCGUAAAGGGCGCGUAGGCGGUUCGUUAAGACAGAUGUGAAAUCCCCGGGCUUAACCUGGGAACUGCAUUUGUGACUGGCGAGCUAGAGUAUGGCAGAGGGGGGUAGAAUUCCACGUGUAGCAGUGAAAUGCGUAGAGAUGUGGAGGAAUACCGAUGGCGAAGGCAGCCCCCUGGGCCAAUACUGACGCUCAUGCACGAAAGCGUGGGGAGCAAACAGGAUUAGAUACCCCCGUAGUCCCUGUCUCUUAUAC